Molecule: transfer RNA, 91 nt
Organism: Intoshia linei
Lineage: Eukaryota; Metazoa; Orthonectida; Rhopaluridae
Rfam family: tRNA
About the family: Transfer RNA (tRNA) molecules are approximately 80 nucleotides in length. Their secondary structure includes four short double-helical elements and three loops (D, anti-codon, and T loops).
Source: Rfam
GCCUCUGUGGCUCAGUUGGUAGAGCGUUGGUCUCAUAUAUACGAUUACUUAAGUAAUCCAAAGGUCGUGGGUUCGAUCCCCACCGGGGGCA